AUUGAACGCUGGCGGCAGGCCUAACACAUGCAAGUCGAACGAGUGGCGGACGGGUGAGUAAUGUCUGGGAAACUGCCUGAUGGAGGGGGAUAACUACUGGAAACGGUAGCUAAUACCGCAUACCAUCGGAUGUGCCCAGCUGGGAUUAGCUAGUCGGUGGGGUAAAGGGUCACCUAGGCGACGAUCCCUAGCUGGUCUGAGAGGAUGACCAGCCACACUGGGACUGAGACACGGUCCAGACUCCUACGGUAGGCAGUAGUGGGGAACAUUUCGCAAUGGGCGCAAGCCUGAUGGAGCCAUGCCGCGUGUAUGAAGAAGGACGUCGGGUUGUAAAGUGCUUGCAGCGGGGAGGCGUUACCCACAGAAGAAGCACCGGCUAACUCCGUGCCAGCCGCCGCGGUAAUGC
Molecule: ribosomal RNA, 406 nt
Filed under: uncultured bacterium
Lineage: Bacteria
Description: partial 16S ribosomal RNA
Rfam family: Bacterial small subunit ribosomal RNA
Source: RNAcentral